ACACCCUAGCGCUCUUUGCUCUUACUUAGUCAUAAUCCUCAAAGUUCUUUCCGGUGGGAGAGGAACAUCGCCGCAUACACCCGCGGUCCAAGAACUAUUGAGUUCACAAGUACUGGGAUUCCGGAAUCGACUUCACAAGUCAAGGGUCCAUAUCCAACCCUAUACUGUUGACCUACCUAGGUCCAAUGCACUUUCCACCCUAGGUCCAACAGACUCUAGGUCUAAUGCCUCGAUGCCACAACCUAGGUUUACCUUAACUCUAGGUUCAGUUCUCAACCUAUGUUCUUUAACACUAGGUUAGAUGCCACACACCUAGAUCCCGACUCUAGGUUCAUACUCAACCUAUG
Molecule: long non-coding RNA, 347 nt
Filed under: Ananas comosus (pineapple)
Lineage: Eukaryota; Viridiplantae; Streptophyta; Magnoliopsida; Poales; Bromeliaceae
Description: long non-coding RNA (ACOM_LNC036172)
Source: RNAcentral